Molecule: long non-coding RNA, 412 nt
Filed under: Gallus gallus (chicken)
Lineage: Eukaryota; Metazoa; Chordata; Aves; Galliformes; Phasianidae
Description: long non-coding RNA NONGGAT003163
Source: RNAcentral
CCCCGCACUGUCUGCAUGCAGCUCCUUGCCAGCGAGGGUUCACGUUCCUGGCUGGGGCUGCUCACGCUGCCCUCCCUCGCACCGGCUCCUCUCCCUCCCCAGGUGGUACCUGAAGAUGCUGCAGUGCUACCGCUGCCGGCAGUGGUUCCAUGAGGCGUGCACUCAGUGCCUCAGUGACCCCAUGAUGUUCGGGGAUCGGUUCUAUGUGUUUUUCUGCUCUGUGUGCAACCAGGGACCUGAGUACAUCAAGCGCCUGCCCCUGCGAUGGUGAGAAACAGACGUGGCCCUGUUGUGCUGUGCCAGGUCCCCAUUGGGCUCAUGGGACACCAGUGUGCUGUGCUGUGCUGUGCUGUCAGGGAGCCAAAGCACGCCUUCACCAGGAGAUAACUGCAAAAAGCAAUUUGGGAAUGAG